RNAcentral lists this ribosomal RNA (459 nucleotides) under uncultured bacterium. RNAcentral describes it as "partial 16S ribosomal RNA". It matches the Rfam family "Bacterial small subunit ribosomal RNA", at positions 338 to 795 of the family's 1533-position model. The record is from RNAcentral.
CCUACGGGAGGCAGCAGUGAGGAAUAUUGGUCAAUGGGCGAGAGCCUGAACCAGCCAAGUCGCGUGAGGGAAGAAGGUCCUAUGGAUUGUAAACCUCUUUUGCCGGGGAGCAAAAAGCGGUACGUGUACCGCAUCGCGUGUACGCGGAGAAAAAGCAUCGGCUAACUCCGUGCCAGCAGACGCGGUAAUACGGGGGAUGCGAGCGUUAUACGGAUUUAUUGGGUUUAGAGGGUGCGGAGGGGGCGAGUUAAGUCAGCGGUAAAAUUUCGGGGCUCAACCCCGACGAGCCGUUGAAACUGGCUUGCUAGAGUGGGCGAGAAGUAUGCGGAAUGCGUGGUGUAGCGGUGAAAUGCAUAGAUAUCACGCAGAACUCCGAUUGCGAAGGCAGCAUACCGGCGCCCAACUGACGCUCAGGCACGAAAGCGUGGGUAUCGAACAGGAUUAGAUACCCGGGUAGUC